UACGAAGGGGGCUAGCGUUGCUCGGAAUGACUGGGCGUAAAGGGCGCGUAGGCGGAGUGCUUUGUCGGGCGUGAAAUUCCAGGGCUCAACCUUGGGGCUGCGUUCGAGACGGGCAUUCUAGAGUUCGGAAGAGGGUCGUGGAAUUCCCAGUGUAGAGGUGAAAUUCGUAGAUAUUGGGAAGAACACCGGUGGCGAAGGCGGCGACCUGGUCCGAGACUGACGCUGAGGCGCGAAAGCGUGGGGAGCAAACGGG
This 253-nucleotide ribosomal RNA is filed under the name uncultured bacterium. RNAcentral's name for it is "partial 16S ribosomal RNA". It matches the Rfam family "Bacterial small subunit ribosomal RNA", at positions 524 to 776 of the family's 1533-position model. The record is from RNAcentral.